AUGCAAAUAGUGUUUGUUUGCUUUACUUCUCAGGCCUGGCCAGGAAACCUUCAAGUAGCAGCACUUUCCCUCCUAAGCAGGAAGGAAAAACUUCUCUCAGUAACCAAGAACGACCUAGACCUGCUGGAAGCUCUCAGCAGUGAGAGAUUUGUUGAGGUCUCAGGAGCUGCGAGUCCUCGUAUUCUUGCUUUUGUUCCCCCAGAUUUCCAACUGGUUUCAAAUUCUGCAAUUUUGACAUUUUCCUUCCUCAUGGACUGGGAAGAUGAUGCUGGCUGCCAGAAGGUAGGAUGGAAAUUCUCAGGGAAGAGAAAACUUCACAAAGGUCCAUUUCGGACCUUACGUUUUCAUAUUUUGAAUAUCAGGCAGAAAUAUCUGAUGGUGAAAAUUCCCCCAGGUUCACUGUUAUUUUUUCCCUCGUUCUGGAGUUUAACAUAGUCAGUGAUUUUUCUUCCUGCUGCUUCCCACCCACAAAAUAACUUUUAUUUAUUCCCACCUUAAAAAUAAAAGAAGGAUUUUUUUUUUUUUCCAGUGCCCCACCCCUGCCUUAUGAUUUUUAAAUUGCAAAUCUUCUGGCUUUAUUUUCUAUUAUUUUAAACAAUAAAAUUGUAUUUUUUUCACACAGAAAUGUAUUUUGGAUGAAAUACUGUUCCUCUCUGGAAAUCUCCUGCCUCCAAAUUCAUGGAUUUGCUCCUAAUGCCACUGAAAUUGUUUAAUGAAUUUAAAAUUCGUUUAAGUAGAUAAAGUGAGCUGGGAGAGUCAUUAAAAGACAGGGUUUUCCUUGACGGUAGUAAAAGAUUUGGGAACAGAUCCUGACUGGGCCUAACAACUGCAACCAGGUGGGAAAGUGGCCCGUGAGCUGGGAGACGGGAGAAAAUCAGCGCUGGGAAGAGGCACUUCGAAGCCCCAAAUAAAAGUCCCACAGGGAGCCCUGGGAUGGGGCAGGGAGCCCUCCCGAGCCUUGUGGGGUUGCAUCGGGGCUUUCUUUAGCAAAAGCAGUCGCAAACAGGGCCCAGGAUGGCUUUAUGUGCCAUCUAGUUCAGAAGCAGGGAGGGGGGGGGAAACAUAUAACAUUUUCUCUUGCCUCCCACAUAGCCUGAGUAAAGGGUUAGAGAUUUGCCUCAAAUAAUAUUAUCUCGCUGCUUCUCUGCUCUGAGCUUUAACCUUUCCAGAUUUUCCCAUUAAAAUACUUGGAGGGGAGAAACGAAACAAGGGCUUAAAAAAUAGGAGCCGCAUGACCUGUGACAGUCAGCCCUUCAUUGGGGUGGGAUGCCCCAGCGCUGGGUUUGGGAUGUGGGUGAUUGCAGUGGCCUCUUUGAGGUCUGUCGUUACUGAAAGUCCUCUCCCUUCUUCUGUUCUUUAGGUUAUAGCAACCGUGUGGCUCAGCCUGCCCUUGCUGCUGUCCCCUUGCCUGCCUAACCUGGGCUCUGCUUUUCAUUUGUCCCCAGUGUCUUCAGGAAGUUUUUUUGUCUUUAGCUCCCACUUUUCAAGACUGAGCUAAACGCAUGAUUUUGGCAUUGCUAUUUAGUGAGUGUCUCACUUGGACUCUGCUCGAAUUUCUACAUCUUCACAACAGGGCUGACACUAAUUGCCUAUUUGCAAUGUAUUUCCAGACGCGUGGCUGCAGAGUGCUAUAUGAAAAAACAGGCAUUGUUAUUAUGAAACUUUCAGGGAAAAAAAAAAAUUAAUAGAUUCAAAUAACUCCAUGGUCAUUAAAACAAACCUUAUGUGGAUGGAGGAGACCAGAGCUGAAUAAACCUUGAGCAAACACAGCCUUUCAAUAUGAAACACACACUGGUUUUAAUCAGCGGUGCCAAAUAAGUUUUAUUUUCCGAGGUUUCUUUUCCCCUCAUCUCCUUCUUUCAAUAUUAUCAGUUGCAGAAGGGGAACAUUGCCCGGCUCCUGCUCUUAAUGAGUAUCAUUUUUAAAAAACAACAACAAAAUGCUCUGCUUGGGCUGGCCAAGUCUCAAGUUGCUUUCGGCUCCACUAGGAUCUCAGCCAGCCUUUGUGAGCAUGUCGUCCCGAAUUUAAAGCACCUCUAUUUUUCCCCAGAUUUUGGACAAAAUUGGGUUCAAAGCCCCACCAGCCAGGAGGGGAGCGCCGCCGACCACUGCCUUGCGUUCGCUUCCUUUAGGGCAGCCACGAAGCCAUUUUUCAUCCUGCCUCACCAAAGCCUCUCCGGUGUUUGUUUGGGAGACAGAAAUAGCUUUCUGCUAGGAGGAUGAUGAGGUUACACAUCCUGAGCCGUCACGGUGAAUCAACAGCCUGGAGCGGGGAGCUGCUGGGGCUGCUGGCUGCCUGCAAGGCGGGGAGUGGGAAUGGCCCUCGGAGGGGAGCGCGGCGUCCCUGGGGACAUCUCGGGGCUUUUCGGUGCCCUGGCUCCUCCACGAGGCUGGCAGCUCAGCCCUGAGGAUGCCACCAGCCCUGCAUGAGGGACAGCCUCCAACUGGCAGGGACAGGAGGAAAGGGGAACGUGCCUUCUGAUUUUGUCUUGCUAUUCUCACACCAAAUCCAAGCUCACCACUGGGGGAGGAAUUUGGAGGCAGCAGCUUGUACGCUGCAAAGGCUGGGAGAAAAUGGUGCAGCCAGCUCCUUGCUAACACACACCUAAUUUUUAGUAAAAGCUGUGAUGUCUGCUGACAAGUUGGUUUGUAGGUGCUCAAUUCAGCAACAAGGCUAACAGCUGAUGAUCGCAGAGGUCUUUUCCAACCUAAAUGCUUCUACGUCUUGCAAUGAGAUACGUGGAGGAGGGCUUUUGGGUGAUACUUGGCUCAGGCUCAUUCCUGCAUGGGAAGUCCUGAGCCUACUUUCCCUGUCUGGAAUAAACGAGCACCCUCCUGCUAAUGCCAUCAGGCCCUGUGACCAUGAGCUAGGCUCAGACGUGCUCUCGGUGGCUGCAGCAGCACAAAGUUGUGUAAUUCAUUGGCAAAAGUGCCUGUGCGUCUUGUUCCCUGGUUGUGGGUGUAGGUCCAAAUCAGUAAUGGUAUUUUUUUCACCUUCUCCUUUGUAAUUUCACCAGAUUGUAGACAUGUAGUGUAGACAUGAUUCCACGUAAAUAUAUUUUGUCCUCAACUAAGCUGAGUCCAUCAGGCUGCAUUUGUUGCUGGUGAAGAUUGUGCACAGAGACGUGCGGUAACUUCUAAGCAGCUGCCAGCUCCUGGUGAUGCUGAGCUCCCCGCUUCUCAGCUCAGCUGGCCAACGUUUCUGUGCUAAAACCGGUGAUGUUGGGUUCAGAUAUAACCCAGCCUGAGGUCUCUAACAGUGGCACAGACAUUCCCUGUCAACAAAUACUCUCAAACAGUGACGACAGUGCCCUAAAGCAAUUUCCUUCUGAAGCUGCUGGAGGUGACGGCUGACUCAGAAAAGCUUGGGAGCCUCCAGAUUCUUCGGCUGGGUGGGAUGUGC
Molecule: long non-coding RNA, 3403 nt
Filed under: Cairina moschata (Muscovy duck)
Lineage: Eukaryota; Metazoa; Chordata; Aves; Anseriformes; Anatidae
Description: domestica (muscovy Duck (domestic type)) lncRNA (ENSCMMG00000008836.1)
Source: RNAcentral